GCUGGAAUAGUGAUGAAUUCACUUUUUGCCGUUUACCCGUCAGACAUUAAAGUGGUGAAAUUGUGAUGACUGAAUUACCAGC
Molecule: small nucleolar RNA, 82 nt
Filed under: Oryzias melastigma (Indian medaka)
Lineage: Eukaryota; Metazoa; Chordata; Actinopteri; Beloniformes; Adrianichthyidae
Description: Small nucleolar RNA SNORD87 (ENSOMEG00000008677.1)
Source: RNAcentral